CUGACCUCGAAUCAGGUGGGACUACCCGCUGAACUUAAGCAUAUCAAUAAGCGGAGGAAAAGAAACUAACAAGGAUUCCCUUAGUAACUGCGAGUGAAGUGGGAUGAGCUCAAAUUUAAAAUCUGGUAGUCUCUGGCUGCCCGAGUUGUAAUCUAGAGAAGUGUUUUCUGUGCUGGAC
Molecule: ribosomal RNA, 178 nt
Filed under: Hydnum repando-orientale
Lineage: Eukaryota; Fungi; Basidiomycota; Agaricomycetes; Cantharellales; Hydnaceae
Description: partial 28S ribosomal RNA
Rfam family: Eukaryotic large subunit ribosomal RNA
Source: RNAcentral